UAUCUCGGCAACCGUAGUGGAAAGUGCAGCUUAAAGCGCAGUGAAAGAAGGAAGAAAAGAUGGUGAAGUGAAAAUUUAUAAUCAGCCGUGCCCAUUACGGUUAGUUUCUGGAAUAAUGGAGCUGCUGCUACUUUUACUUUGAUUAGUUGCUGGAAUGAGUAUUAGAACAACUGCAUUUAGUUUGUUACUCGUGUUUAAAGCAUUGGUUGCCGAAAGUGAUGAGCUGCAGUUGGAAGAUUCGAGAAAAGUUUAAAUCAAAAAUGGCGGAUCUGUUCCACGCCUCGUGAAGGAAAUCGUGAACAGAAUAUUCUCGAUUAUAUAAUUCAACUGCACCGAAAUGAAUCGUUUGCGAUGUAAACUGGUGCGGUUUUAAACCAUUCUAUAAGAAUUAUCUAGCAGAAUCCAGGACUAAUGUCGAUUAUAGUGCAGUGGAAAGAUCGAUACCCAAAGAUCUUGAGCUUUUAUUCGGAAAAAGUGUCUGCAAAAUGACUACCGCAACUGGAGGUGAGCGUUUUCCAAGAUGGCGUCAGUCAGCAGCCUUGGUGAGGUUAUGUCUGCUGACUCAUCACAAAUUUGUAAUGGCGUAUGGGCAUGCGCUCAGUCAUGCUCCGGGCGGUGAAGGUACCUAACCUCAAAAGCACGUGGAUCCAACUGAACUGUGAUUUCUUUCAAAUUCUAUUUCAAUUUUUUUUAAGUUUAAAAGAGAAGCCACCACCGUAAGUUCUUUUUAAGUUCUAUUUCUAUUAUUUUUACGAUUUUGUUUUCGAGUUUAAAAGAUUAGCCAUCACUGUAAAUUCUUUUUAAGUUCUAUUUCUAUUAUUUUUGCGAAACCGAGAUUCUUCGGUUAACAGAAAACACAUGCCACUAGAAUUUCUCUAUAUAUUUCUAUUUACAAUUCGUAUAAAUAACAGAAACCACUGGAAUUUCUCUAUAUAUUUCUAUUUACAAUUCGUAUAAGCAACAGAAACCACUAGAAUUUCUCUAUAUAUUUCUAUUUACAAUUCGUAUAAGAAUUUUGAGAACCAACACUGUAAGUUCUUUUUAAGUUCUAUUUCUAUUAUUUUUGCGAACGUGGAUGACGUGAAACGCAAACAACAUGCCAAGGUUCCAAAUCACUGUAGUUUCUCAAUAUUUUCUAUUUCCUAUUCGUAUCAGAAAAAAAGUCAAACCACUAGAAUUUCUCAAUAUUUUCUAUUUCCUAUUCGU
Molecule: long non-coding RNA, 1206 nt
Organism: Ochlerotatus camptorhynchus
Lineage: Eukaryota; Metazoa; Arthropoda; Insecta; Diptera; Culicidae
Exons: 2
Source: RefSeq, a predicted model, not a curated record